This 1888-nucleotide long non-coding RNA is filed under the name Homo sapiens (human). RNAcentral describes it as "HSALNT0295068". Lineage: Eukaryota; Metazoa; Chordata; Mammalia; Primates; Hominidae. The record is from RNAcentral.
UGCUGGGAUUACAGGUGUGAAUCAUUGUGCCUGGCCUGUGCACACUUUUUAUAAUGGGAUUUCUCUUCCUUACUUUUGAUGUCCCCUCUCUCAUACUUAGUUAACCAUUUUGAAUUCCACUUAGUAAGAAAAGUUUCCAUUUUCUUUUUCUUCAGGGGACUUAGAUAUGAUCUGCACCUAGAUGGUAAGAAGAUUUUCCAUAUUUUGAAGUAGAAACUUUCUGUAUGCCUGAAUCUUGCUGUCAAGAAUGUCUUGGCUAAUCAUGAAGGAAGAAUAUAAGAAUUUACAGUGGGUCAGCUUGUUCUGUGCUAACAUGGAAGUGACAAGAAGCUGGUGUCCCUCUACACAGAGGUCCCCACACUAAAUAUCAUCUUGGAUGUGCUUCACAUUGUUGCACAAAGGUGAUUUUUAAAAUUUGUAUGCAGCCAAGUCACUAUGAAUUAUCUUUAGUGAGUAAAGAGGAAGAUCGAACUGGUAACACUGUGGGUAAACAACUGAAAAAUAAUGUUAUCUUUCUCUGAACAUACUUGCACAAGACAAAUUCCAAAAAUAUUUUGACUACGUUAUUUUUGAAAAGGGUUUCCAGUAUUUCAAUGUGACUACUUUCACUAAUGGUACUUGCUUACCUAAAGUGCUUGUUAACAUGCAGUUUUGGAACUUCAUAGGUCUAUGCCCAUACUGACUUGUACUUGCUUAGUGUUGUUUUACAUUCUAGUUCAACAUCUAUUAUGUGAUAGACACUGGGGAUUAAUAGGCUGUGGUCUUUGCCCAUGAGGACCUCAAAACUUAGUUGAGAACACAGAAAUACAAAGAGUCCUGUGUGAAAAAUAAGUAUCGGUGUUAAGAUAAAGAAGCGGCAGUGGAAGACAGUGGAGGGACUGUCUGUUAGAGGGAGGAAUUUAUUGUGGUGUCGGCAAAGCCUUCUUUGGACUGAAGGAUGAAUUAUGAUUAGAAGUUCAUUAAGAGGAGGAGGGAAGGGGACUACAGGAGUCAUUCCAAGCCAAAGGAACAAAAGAUACAGGGACAGAAACAGCAAGAUAUGUUUGGGGGAAUCUCAAGUUAGUCAAUACUGUUAUUGUGUGAAGUUCACAACAGGGGCAGGGAGGACAGGAGAUGGGGCCCAAUGACGAAAAGGCCUUGUAUGUACCAUGUUUAGAAGUUUGAAUUUUAUCCUAUAGGAGUCAGGGAGAGGUUCUAUGGGUAGGAUUUCCCAUCCCAACAGGAUUGUAAACUCCCACAUCCAAUUAGUCACACCUCCAUUUUUUUUUUUUUCUGUUUCUUUAACAUUGUCUCGGAUUCAUUCCUUCUGAAAUCUACCUUAUUAGUUCAGGUCUUCUUAAAUUUGUGCCUGGACUGUUCACCAACUCUUGACUGGUCCUGGGGCUCCAGUUCACCUCUUGCUCCCAACAAUCAAUUUUCUACAGAAUUAUCAGAGCAAUCUUCCUUUCCAUCAAUCUCAACUCUGUUCAAAAACUUUCAAUAGUUUUAUGUGACCUAAGAGGUAGCUGCCUCCCCACCCUUUCAGCUUGCCAUUCAAGGCUGCAUAAUUUGGUCCCAACCCCCUUUCCGUCCUUGACUCCUCUCACUGCUAACAGAGACAGAACUCAUUUACUUACUCUUUUGACUGUACCUUUGCUUUCACGAGGGCUCUUUCCUGGAAUGAUAUGUCCAUACAACUAUUGUUGCUGUUCUUACUUUUAGCUCUUUUCUUAGAAGCCCACUUGUACCCAGGUUUGAUCACACCCCCUACUCUCCUGCCCUGGAAGUAACUACUAUUCUGGUUAUAGUCUCUUAAUAUCUAUAUCUAUAUAUAUGCAUCCACAGAUAAUGUGUAGUAUUGUCUUGAAAAAAAUAUACACAAAUGGUAUACUUUGUCUCCCUCUGUGAU